This 253-nucleotide ribosomal RNA is filed under the name uncultured bacterium. RNAcentral's name for it is "partial 16S ribosomal RNA". It matches the Rfam family "Bacterial small subunit ribosomal RNA", at positions 524 to 776 of the family's 1533-position model. The record is from RNAcentral.
UACGGAGGGUGCAAGCGUUAUCCGGAUUCACUGGGUUUAAAGGGUGCGUAGGCGGGUUGAUAAGUCAGUGGUGAAAUCCCCGAGCUUAACUUGGGAACUGCCAUUGAUACUAUUGAUCUUGAAUACCGUGGAGGUCAGCGGAAUAUGUCAUGUAGCGGUGAAAUGCUUAGAUAUGACAUAGAACACCAAUUGCGAAGGCAGCUGGCUACGCGAAUAUUGACACUGAUGCACGAAAGCGUGGGGAGCAAACAGG